GAUGAACGCUGGCGGCAUGCCUUACACAUGCAAGUCGAACGGUAACAGGUCUUCGGAUGCUGACGAGUGGCGAACGGGUGAGUAAUACAUCGGAACGUGCCCGAUCGUGGGGGAUAACGAAGCGAAAGCUUUGCUAAUACCGCAUAAGAUCUACGGAUGAAAGCAGGGGACCGCAAGGCCUUGCGCGAACGGAGCGGCCGAUGGCGGAUUAGGUAGUUGGGGGGAUAAAAGAUUACCAAGCCGCCGAUCUGUAGCUGGUCUGAGAGGACGACCGGCCACACUGGGACUGAGACACGGCCCAGACUCCUACGGGAGGCAGCAGUGGGGAAUUUUGGACAAUGGGCGAAAGCCUGAUCCAGCCAUGCCGCGUGCAGGAUGAAGGCCUUCGGGUUGUAAACUGCUUUUGUACGGAACGAAAAGGUCUCUCUUAAUACGGGGGACUCAUGACGGUACCGUAAGAAUAAGCACCGGCUAACUACGUGCCAGCCGCCGCCGUAA
RNAcentral lists this ribosomal RNA (498 nucleotides) under uncultured bacterium. RNAcentral describes it as "partial 16S ribosomal RNA". It matches the Rfam family "Bacterial small subunit ribosomal RNA", at positions 28 to 523 of the family's 1533-position model. The record is from RNAcentral.